Molecule: ribosomal RNA, 790 nt
Filed under: uncultured archaeon
Lineage: Archaea
Description: bacterial SSU rRNA
Rfam family: Archaeal small subunit ribosomal RNA
Source: RNAcentral
ACKGCUCAGUAACACGUCGAUAAUCUGCCCUUAAGCCUGGGAAAACCUUGGGAAACUGAGGCUAAACCCGGAUAGAGAACGAAAGCUGGAAUGCUUCAUUCUUUAAAGGCAACACUUAAGGAUGAGUCGGCGGCGGAUUAGGUUGUUGGUGAGGUAACGGCUCACCAAGCCAAAGAUCCGUACGGGCCAUGAGAGUGGUAGCCCGGAGAAGGACACUGAGAAACUGGUCCUAGCCCUACGGGGUGCAGCAGGCGCGAAAACUUUACAAUGCACGAAAGUGUGAUAAGGGAAUCCUAAGUGCUCAUACACAGUAUGGGCUUUUGCCAAGGGUAAAUACCUUGGAGAAUAAGUGGUGGGUAAGACUGGUGCCAGCAGCCGCGGUAACCCCAGCGCCACAAGUGGGAGCCACAAUUAUUUGGCCUAAAGCGUCCGUAGCUGGCUUGGUAAAUCUUUUGUGAAAUCGGAAGGCUCAACUUUCCGGCGUGCAGAAGACACUGCCUGGCUUGAGACCGGGAGGGGUAAGGAGUAUUCCUAGGGAACCGGUAAAAUGGGAUAAUCCUAGGAAGACUACCUGUGGCGAAGGCGCCUUACCAGCACGGGUUUGACAGUGAGGGACGAAGGCUAGGGGAGCGAACCGGAUUAGAUACCCGAGUAGUCCUAGCAGUAAACGCUGCCGGCUAGGUGUUGCAUCAUCCAUGUGAUUAUGCAGUGUCGUAGCGAAGGCAUUAAGCCGGCCGCCUGGGAAGUAUGGUCGCAAGACUGAAACUUAAAGGAAUUGGCGGGGGAGCAC